GGGGAAGGAAGCUGUGAGAAGCAAUAGAGAGAGCAGGUAGCUAUGAGGUAGGGUCUGGAAGAAGUAGUGAGGACCAUGGGGGAAGCUAUGGGAGACCCUGGGGAGAGCAGUGGGCUAGGAGAAACCUAUUAGGAGGAAAUGUGCCUCCUGGGAGACAGCCUUAGGAGGCAGUGCUUUUGUUUAGGGAGCGCAGAAGAACCCUGCAGGGCUCUGGAGUAGGGGUGAAGAACUUCAGCGUAGCCCAAGAGGAGCAGAACAACUGUUUGUUUGGAUUUUCAGUUGGGCUUUCCUUCCCCUGAAAGGGGACCGAGUUUGAAAUGUGACUUGGCUGGAGAGUUGGGCUGGGAGAUGGAGACUGCUGCAGAACUAAAUUGGUUAAAAAUAGGGGGUGCUAGAGUGAAUGAACCUCUGAUGCUGAGUCCUGGCUGGCCUGUAGCUCUCCAUUACAGGGAGAAGACACCUUCAUGGAGUGAGCAGAGUGGCCACUUAAAGUGAUGACAAAGGAAGAGCUGGCUACUGGCAGGGAGCUCCUGCUGAAAUGAUGUUCGGAAGACAAAAUAAUAUACAGUUCCAUCUCAAGAAAACUAGCUGAAGGGUAUUCCUCUCCAAUUGCCAUGUGGACGUCAUCAGGCAGUUGAUUAUCUGUCAUUCACAAUCUUCCAGAGUGGCAGCUUUGUCCUGCUCAGCAACAUGACGGAUGGAUCUUGCAGCCACGGAAGACCAGACAAAGCACAACAGGCCUGGAAAACACCAAGAAUGAUAAGUUUUAGUUGCUUUGGUAUCUGAAUCAACAUGGUUGCUGUAACUUCGGCUACUUUUAACUCACUCUUCCUAUGUGUUUGCCCAAGUGAGAACAGCAGUGCUACGCCAUACCCGGUCUACUGGGAAUCAGGAGGAAUAAUGGGUUGUGAUGAGCAUAUUCCCAGGUUCCAGAAUGAGUAAAAGAAAAUAAAGGACAGGGAAGAAUGUGACGGCAACAUUUCUCUGAUCCAUGUCUUAGGGGUAGAAUUGAUUGCCACUAUGUUUCCACACUAUGUCUAGAUUUUUGCAAGGGUGUUUUCAUAAAUGAUGUGCAGCUGUCACGUCAUCAGUUGUCACCUCAUGAUGCUCCUUCUUUCCAGCUCCCAGGAAGGCAUGUAUAUGUUAUGGAAAAGAACAUGUACAAGUUGCUGAAAUAGCCCUCAGUACAAAAGAGGCAUCUGUGAAAGCAAAAAUGAUGCUAGUAUUAGUGUAAACAUACACAGUACCAUUGUAUUUAGCUCUUUGGAAUGGAUGGCAGGUUUUGAUCAAGCCAUAGUGAGCUUGCCUUACAGACAACAAUGCCCAUCUGUGUUGCUAUCUUUGGGGAAAAUAUGCCCAUGAGGAAACACAGGAGAUUUGAGUGAAGAUCUUGGUAGUGCAGUGAGGACUGUGAAGUGAGUUGUAGCCAACUCUGGCAAAACCUGCUUUCCCAUCCCCAGUUUUUAUCCACUAUGAAGCUUAUGCAUUCCAGGAGCAUCAUCAGAUCUGUUGAUGGUAUUUUGACCAACCAGAGCUCUUCUUGGUGCAACCAGCGUAAAAUAAGACUACAUCGUGCUCUUUAAAAAGAGAGUCUGGAAAACAUCCCAGAUUUGUACAUGUACCUCUUUAGUUUACAGUUCAGAGAACAAGGCUGAACAGGGAUUUGAUGGAGAUUAAUAGCUGGGCUCUUUUUCCCCCCAUUUAGAAAUGAAGUAAUAUCCACACUCUCUAAAAUAAAACCCCUCCAGGAUUUGCUGGCAUACAUAGAACAAUGCUUCAGUGCUAGAUGUGUACAGCUGUAUUUGCACCAUUGUGAUUCACCUUUUUAGAAAGCCCUAUCAAGAGAGUCCAUCUAUAGCUCCAUUUAGAAACUGCCUAUUUGUAUUGCAGUAGCACCUAGAGAUCCCAACAGAGAUGGAAACCUCCUUGUGCUAGGCACUCUACAAACAUAUAGUGAGAGACGAUCUCUGCCCCAAACUGCUUACAAUCUAAAGAGUGCAGACAAAGGAUGGGAGAAGAAAGAGAUUAAAUGACUUGGCCAAGAUCAUUCAGCAGGUCAGUGUCCAAGCCAGCAAUAGAACUCUUCCUCCCAUGGCUCUAGUUGCUAGACAGCACUGCCUCUCUAAACAAAACCUAUAGCUCCUGCCCUGCACGUACCCUGCUCGUAUUUAUUGCUUUUAUUAUCUUUUCUUUUUUAUGCUUCUUGACCUUAGGAUGUGGAGGCUCAAUGCUUAUGACCAUUCUUGAUCCAAAUACAGAUAGUAAUUUUCUGGUAAUUGAUUGAUAUUAAAUAUUCAGCUUUGGGAAUAAUUGCCAGAUCAAGCUGCCAAUUUAUACAAGGGCAACACUAUAGAUUGUGAUGGAAGCAGGGAACUUAGCUGGAGUUUGGCUUUUGGCCCAAAUCUAGUUGCUACAACUUACCUAGAUACUAGAAUACUUUCAGAUUUACAGGUAACAAAUGUAUGAUGCUAUUGUAAAAGGAAGUAUUUUGUAGGUCAAGUAUUUUGUGACCUGAUAGGGGUCACACUGUUUGGUAUUACAAUGCCAACAUAUCUAAAAUGCCUAGAAGAUCAACUCUUUGCCAGCUGUUGGUUAAUGGCAGAUGGCCAACAAAGCAUUCAGUUUCUCCAUUUGUUAGAACCAUGGAGAAUAUAGCUUUUGUAUUAAUGGAGUUUAACAGCUACUUAAGACCUGUUUCAUAAGAAGUUUAUGCACCAUUGAACUCCAACUAAUUUUUUUCCCUGCAAUUCUCCUAGAAGUGAAUUUCUGACUCAUUUUAAAGGGGGAAAGAAUCCCAAAAUUUUAACUACUUUUAAAUACUGCACUUGGAAUUGGGGCAGUUUUGACACCCUGGUUUAUAUCACUGAAGAUAAACCUGAGGUUACCAAUGGAGCUAUCUGGAUGCAAUUAUGGGAAAGCAGUCCUCUGACAAAGAGGACAUAUAGUGCACAAGUACAAAAAUUGUAGAGGUCAGAUGUUUAACUGCAAAAUAUCAUUCUUGGCUAAGAGGGGUACAGACAUGCUAAUGAAUAGAUUCAAUUGUGUUAGCUGAAAUCUAAUAAUAAACACUUAUUUGUGAAAGUGCAAAUGGUGAAAUGACAAGCGUUUGGCAGAAUACCCAGUGGGGAUAAUAGGAUAUGAGCCAAGUUUAGACCUGGUGGAGAUGAAUACCAGUCCCUUGACUUCCAUCAGGGUUGUACUUGCCAACAUUAGGUACGACUUUAGUUGCAUAACUAGAUAAAGUUAAAACCAUGAUCUUUUACCAUUUUCUAACCCAACUUGCCUGCCUUUUUGGUCAGAACUGGAACUAAGCAAAACAUUUGUAAUGAAAUCAAAAGCCCAUGGCCUAGCUUCAGGAUUCAGUAGUAACCUGAAACUUGGGUUAAGUUUGCAUAUCUUCCAGUGAGCCUUAGCGGAGUUGUGAGCCCAGGACAAAUAGAUAAGGAUGAUAAAAUUGUCCAUCAUGAUAUAGAAAAAGCAGAAGUAGUAAAUAAAUAUUUCUUUUAUAUUUG
Long non-coding RNA from Dermochelys coriacea (leatherback sea turtle), 3512 nucleotides. RefSeq lists it as uncharacterized. The transcript has 4 exons. Lineage: Eukaryota; Metazoa; Chordata; Testudines; Dermochelyidae. The record is from RefSeq and is a predicted model, not a curated record.